AGAGAACGAGCCCAGCAUGACACCAGCAACUCUGCUGAAGAUCAAAUUCAAUACGCCUCCGUGAAUUGGUUGAGAAGCUCCAGGCAUCCACCACCCCAGAGAGAAGAGACAUUGACAUACGCGAUCAUCGCUCUGCAGCGGGAGACAUGUCAUUAAUGCUCCACUGGCUGAAAUGCAGGACUCAUCGUUGUGCAGCUGCAUCACAGAACCUCCCAAAAUCACAGGCAACUGUAACCCAGGCUUUGCAGCAAGGAAGUGGGGAACCUUCUCUGGGGCCACAGCAGGACAAUGCACAGCACCCCAAAGUGCUGUAGGACACUGGGAUAUUCUUAGGGCAAAUGCAGCCUGUUUGCCUUUUGGAAAAAAGUCACUGGCUGCUGCCGGCACCAGGUCCCUCACUAACCUCCCAGGCUGCCCUGGACCCCACAUCCCCCUGAAGUAUGGGGCCCCCCAAAGCCCAAACAUAGGUGGAGCCAGGCCCACAUUCCUAACUAUUGAUGGCACACAGGUACCAUGGGCCCAUGUAACUCACCGUCUAUGAAGGGAAAAAAACUAUAUUUUACAGUGCUUUUCAGAAAUCUAUUGUGACAUUCUGUUCAUUGGGGGAGCACCCAGUAACCCCCCACAUUCCUUAUCUGCAUAUAAUCGCGAUCUCACAUAUAAAGCAUACCUUGUAAGGUAUCAGGGGUAUCAGGUUAUGAUCUGCUGAAAGUCAUUUCUCUCUCCAUAUAUGUAUAUCUUUAAUGCAUGCGAAGUUAUGAGGAUUGUGUUGUAUGUGGUCACUAAAGCAUGCUGUAAGUUGGGGAAUCAACCAGAUAUUAGCUCCCCAGAGGCAACAGCAAGGAAAGUAACCAAUGCCCAGGCAAGGUGUGAAACAACCCAUCAACAGCCGUUGUCCAGCAAGGAAACUACAAUGCAAUGACUCACCUGCAUGAGGCCACACCAGGGGGGUUGCUCAGAUUUGCCUGGAGACUCAGCAAUGCCCCCCAGACAUUCCUGGACAUGUGUUCUACAAGCACAUGGACUGAGGGUAUAAAACUGAACACAGCAGGCUCAGGCUUGGCUUUUCUCCUUCACUCACCUACACUGCAAGUGUAACACAGAAACCGCGGUCAUUGGCUGGAAGGAUCAACCCGGGGACCUUUGGAGCUUAAUGCAUGCGCCUCUAACUGCCUGUUGAGCAGACUCAUUUAAUUCUCUCUAAGUGAUCUCUGUGCCACUAGACGGGACAGAACACCACACCCAGAAGGUGUGUGGGUUACACAAGCUACAAGGUCGCUGGAGACUUGAGACUCCAACUGAGGGGACAGGCCCUGAUUUCAAAGGUGAAAUCUGUGGACUGCAAUAUCUAGUGGGGGUGAGAAAAACUGCUUAAUCUGGUUGCUGCCCAGUCUAACAGGGUUGAGAGUUUAGACAGUGGGCUUAUAUUUUAUUUCUUUUGGUAACUCACUCUGACUU
Molecule: long non-coding RNA, 1458 nt
Organism: Mauremys mutica (yellowpond turtle)
Lineage: Eukaryota; Metazoa; Chordata; Testudines; Geoemydidae
Exons: 3
Source: RefSeq, a predicted model, not a curated record